RNAcentral lists this ribosomal RNA (471 nucleotides) under uncultured bacterium. RNAcentral's name for it is "bacterial SSU rRNA". It matches the Rfam family "Bacterial small subunit ribosomal RNA", at positions 364 to 832 of the family's 1533-position model. The record is from RNAcentral.
UUCGCAAUGCCCGAAAGGGUGAACGAGCGACGCCGCGUGCGGGAUGAAGGGUUUCGGCUUGUAAACCGCUUUUCUUUGGGAAGAAGGUCUGUCUCGUGCAGAUGGGCUCGACGGUACCAGAGGAAUAAGCCUCGGCUAACUUCGUGCCAGCAGCCGCGGUAAGACGAAGGUGGCGAGCGUUGUUCGGAAUCACUGGGCAUAAAGCGCACGUAGGCGGCGGCGUAAGUCGGGUGUGAAAUCCCUCGGCCCAACCGAGGAACUGCGCCCGAUACUGCGUUGCUUGAGGGCCAAAGGGGUGCAUGGAAUUCCCGGUGGAGCGGUGAAAUGCGUUGAGAUCGGAAGGAACGCCCGUGGCGAAAGCGAGGUCCUGGACGUCUGCUGACGCUGAGACGCGAAAGCUAGGGGAGCAAACGGGAUUAGAUACCCCGGUAGUCCUAGCCGUAAACGAUGGGCACUAAGUAGAGGGGUUUU